GAUGAACGCUAGCGGCAGGCCUAACACAUGCAAGUCGAAAAGGGGUAGAAGGAGCUUGCUCCUUUGAGACCGGCGCACGGGUGCGUAACGCGUAUGCAAUCUACCUUGUACAGGGAAUAGCCCAGAGAAAUUUGGAUUAAUGCCCCAUAGUAUAUAACCCUUCGCAUGUUGGUUAUAUUAAAGUUCCAACGGUACAAGAUGAGCAUGCGUCCCAUUAGUUAGUUGGUAAGGUAACGGCUUACCAAGACGAUGAUGGGUAGGGGUCCUGAGAGGGAGAUCCCCCACACUGGUACUGAGACACGGACCAGACUCCUACGGGAGGCAGCAGUGAGGAAUAUUGGUCAAUGGUCGCAAGACUGAACCAGCCAUGCCGCGUGCAGGAAGACGGUCCUAUGGAUUGUAAACUGACUUUUUAUACUAGGAAGAAAACCCCUUCCCACCGUAGUGGGAGCUUGACGGUUACUGUAGGAAUAAGGAUCGGACUAACUCCGUGCCAGCAGCCGCGGUAAU
Molecule: ribosomal RNA, 510 nt
Filed under: uncultured bacterium
Lineage: Bacteria
Description: bacterial SSU rRNA
Rfam family: Bacterial small subunit ribosomal RNA
Source: RNAcentral